GCCUUGAGUAGCGGCGAGUGAAGCGGCAAAAGCUCAAAUUUGAAAUCUGGCGCCUUCGGUGUCCGAGUUGUAAUUUGAAGAUUGUAACCUUGGGGUUGGCUCUUGUCUAUGUUUCUUGGAACAGGACGUCACAGAGGGUGAGAAUCCCGUGCGAUGAGAUGCCCAAUCCUAUGUAAGGUGCUUUCGAAGAGUCGAGUUGUUUGGGAAUGCAGCUCUAAGUGGGUGGUAAAUCCAUCUAAAGCUAAAUAUUGGCGAGAGACCGAUAGCGAACAAGUACAGUGAUGGAAAGAUGAAAAGAACUUUGAAAAGAGAGUGAAAAAGUACGUGAAAUUGUUGAAAGGGAAGGGUUUGAGAUCAGACUCGAUAUUUUGUGAGCCUUGCCUUCGUGGCGGGGUGACCCGCAGCUUAUCGGGCCAGCAUCGGUUUGGGCGGUAGGAUAAUGGCGUAGGAAUGUGACUUUACUUCGGUGAAGUGUUAUAGCCUGCGUUGAUGCUGCCUGCCUAGACCGAGGACUG
RNAcentral lists this ribosomal RNA (515 nucleotides) under Meyerozyma carpophila. RNAcentral's name for it is "LSU rRNA". It matches the Rfam family "Eukaryotic large subunit ribosomal RNA", at positions 77 to 597 of the family's 3401-position model. Lineage: Eukaryota; Fungi; Ascomycota; Pichiomycetes; Serinales; Debaryomycetaceae. The record is from RNAcentral.